CGAAAUGCGAUAAGUAAUGUGAAUUGCAGAAUUCAGUGAAUCAUCGAAUCUUUGAACGCACCUUGCGCUCCUUGGUAUUCCGAGGAGCAUGCCUGUUUGAGUGUCAUGGAAUUCUCAACUCUAUUUGCUUUUGUGAAUAGAGCUUGGAUUUGGAGGUUUAUUGCUGGUACUUGUGAUCGGCUCCUCUUGAAUGCAUUAGCUCGAACCUUUGCGGAUCAGCUAUCGGUGUGAUAAUUGUCUACGCCGUUGCAGUGAAGCAUAUCAAUGGGCUCGGCUUCCAAUCGUCCUUUACUGGACAAUGACUUUGACCUUUGACCUCAAAUCAGGUAGGAUUACCCGCUGAACUUAAGC
This 351-nucleotide unclassified non-coding RNA is filed under the name plant metagenome. RNAcentral describes it as "partial contains 5.8S ribosomal RNA, internal transcribed spacer 2, and large subunit ribosomal RNA". The stretch from base 1 to 106 matches the Rfam family "5.8S ribosomal RNA", at positions 49 to 154 of the family's 154-position model. The record is from RNAcentral.